UACGAACUGUGCAAACGUUAUUCGGAAUCACUGGGCUUAAAGGGUGCGUAGGCGGCUACUUAAGUAGGGUGUGAAAUCCCCCGGCUCAACCGGGGAACUGCGCUCUAAACUGGGUGGCUGGAGUGAGAUAGGGGUGUGUGGAACUUCCGGUGGAGCGGUGAAAUGUGUUGAUAUCGGAAGGAACGCCGGUGGCGAAAGCGACACACUGGGUCUCAACUGACGCUGAGGCACGAAAGCCAGGGGAGCGAACGGG
Molecule: ribosomal RNA, 253 nt
Filed under: uncultured bacterium
Lineage: Bacteria
Description: partial 16S ribosomal RNA
Rfam family: Bacterial small subunit ribosomal RNA
Source: RNAcentral